This 433-nucleotide ribosomal RNA is filed under the name uncultured bacterium. RNAcentral describes it as "partial 16S ribosomal RNA". It matches the Rfam family "Bacterial small subunit ribosomal RNA", at positions 29 to 507 of the family's 1533-position model. The record is from RNAcentral.
AACGAACGCUGGCGGCAGGCUUAACACAUGCAAGUCGAACGCACCGUUCGGGGUGAGUGGCAGACGGGUGAGUAACGCGUGGGAAUCUACCCUUCUCUACGGGAUAGCUCCGGGAAACUGGAAUUAAUACCGCAUACGUCCUGAGGGAGUAAGAGUUCUCGGGGCAGGAUGAGCCCGCGUUGGAUUAGCUAGUUGGUGGGGUAAAGGCCUGCCAAGGCGACGAUCCAUAGCUGGUCUAUGAGGAUGAUCCGCCACAUUGGGACUGCGACACGGCCCAAACUCCGACGCGAGGCAGCAGUGGGGAAUAUUGGACGAGGGGCGCAAGCCUGAUCCAGCCAUGCCGCGUGAGUGAUGAAGGCCCUAGGAUUGUAAAGCUCUUUCAGUGGGGACGAUAGUGACGGUACCCACAGAAGAAGCCCCGGCUAACUACGUG